Molecule: ribosomal RNA, 1565 nt
Filed under: metagenome
Description: SSU rRNA
Rfam family: Eukaryotic small subunit ribosomal RNA
Source: RNAcentral
UAUCAGCUUUCGACGGUUCUGUAGUGGACUACCGGGGCAUUAACGGGUUACGGAGAAUUAGGGUUCGAUUCCGGAGAGGGAGCCUGAGAAACGGCUACCACAUCUAAGGAAGGCAGCAGGCGCGUAAAUUACCCACUCCCAGCCGGGGAGGUAGUGACGAAAAAUAACAAUACAGGACUCAUUAUAGAGGCCCUGUAAUUGGAAUGAGUACACUUUAAAUCCUUUAACAAGGACCUAUUGGAGGGCAAGUCUGGUGCCAGCAGCCGCGGUAACUCCAGCUCCAAUAGCGUAUAUUAAAGUUGUUGCGGUUAAAACGUUCGUAGUUGAACUUGUGCUUCAUACGGGUAGUAUAACUAUAAUUGUAGUCUGUACUAUACCUUAUGUAUGUAAGCGUAUUACCGGUGGAGUUCUUAUAUAUAUUAAAUACUUGUAUUUAUACGUAUUCCUCCUAUUUAAACCUGCUUCAGUGCUCCUCAUUGCGUGCUGUUGUAGGCCGGUACAAUUACUUUGAACAAAUUAGAGUGCUUAAAGCAGGCUCCAAAUGCCUGAAUAUUUUGUGCAUGGAAUAAUGAAAUAAGACCUCUGUUCUACUUUCAUUGGUUUUUAGAUCAAGAGGUAAUGAUUAAUAGAAGCAGUUUGGGGGCAUUAGUAUUACGACGCGAGAGGUGAAAUUCUUGGACCGUCGUAAGACUAACUUAAGCGAAGGCAUUUGCCAAAGAUGUUUUCAUUAAUCAAGAAUGAAAGCUAGAGGUUCGAAGGCGAUCAGAUACCGCCCUAGUUCUAACCAUAAACGAUGCCAGCUAGCAAUUGGGUGUAGCUACUAUUAUGGCUCUCUCAGUCGCUUCCCGGGAAACCAAGGCUUUUGGGCUCCGGGGGAAGUAUGGUUGCAAAGCUGAAACUUAAAGGAAUUGACGGAAGGGCACCACCAGGAGUGGAGCCUGCGGCUUAAUUUGACCCAACACGGGAAAACUUACCAGGUCCGAACAUAAGCGUGUAAGACAGAUUGAUAGCUCUUUCUCGAAUCUAUGGGUGGUGGUGCAUGGCCGUUCUUAGUUCGUGGAGUGAUUUGUCUGGUUAAUUCCGAUAACGAACGAGACUCAAAUAUAUUAAAUAGAUGCUUUCAGGAUUAUGGUGUUUGAAGCUUUUAUAGCCUUCAUUCAUGAAUGCAGUAACAUGUGUGAGUGUUUGAAUGUGUUUAUAAAGGUGGAGCCGUACCUGUUGGUUUGUCCCAUUAUAAGGACACUAGCUUCUUAAAUGGACAAAUUGCGUCUAGCAAUAAUGAGAUUGAGCAAUAACAGGUCUGUGAUGCCCUUAGAUGUCCUGGGCUGCACGCGCGCUACAAUGAAAGUAUCAACGUGUAUUUCCUAGACCGAGAGGUCCGGGUAAACCGCUGAACCACUUUCAUGCUUGGGAUUGUGAACUGAAACUGUUCACAUGAACUUGGAAUUCCCAGUAAGUGUGAGUCAUUAACUCGCAUUGAUUACGUCCCUGCCCUUUGUACACACCGCCCGUCGCUACUACCGAUUGAAUUAUUUAGUGAGGUCUCCGGACGUGAUCACUGUAAC